AUGCAUCCCCAGUUUGCUUCCAGAGAAGGAAGGGGAAGAGUUACAAUUACAACAUGGGGCUUCAAGUGUCUAUUACUGUGGAUCACCAAUAUUUUGUUAUAUCCGUGCAUUUUAGUUACGACUAAGUGCCACACCAAUGAAUGUGAAUGUCUGUUCAGGGUUUUCUUGUUGCUGCUAUUCCUCGUGGAUAUUCAAGAGGCAACUUGGCACCUAAUGUCAGCAACGUGCUUAUCGGUGACGAGGGAAAUGAAAGAAGGCUGCAAUGGAAUUUGUACUAGAUCAGAUUUUGGCCAUGUAGUUUCCGGUGACUGGAAGUCUAAAACUGAGGAUAGGACAGAUUGUUUUGAUUCCGAUUACUUGGAGAUCUUGUGGCUUGCUGUCCCUGGAUCAGUCAGACCUACGGCAGCAUCAACUCGUUGA
Molecule: ribosomal RNA, 420 nt
Filed under: Triticum aestivum (bread wheat)
Lineage: Eukaryota; Viridiplantae; Streptophyta; Magnoliopsida; Poales; Poaceae
Description: partial small subunit ribosomal RNA
Source: RNAcentral